This 280-nucleotide ribosomal RNA is filed under the name Pseudo-nitzschia fraudulenta. RNAcentral's name for it is "partial 28S ribosomal RNA". It matches the Rfam family "Eukaryotic large subunit ribosomal RNA", at positions 186 to 475 of the family's 3401-position model. The record is from RNAcentral. Lineage: Eukaryota; Bacillariophyta; Bacillariophyceae; Bacillariales; Bacillariaceae.
UUCCUUGGAAAGGACAGCUGAGAGGGUGAAACUCCCGUCCGCCUGGUAGAAUGAGUCUUUGUCAACGAGUCGAGUUGUUUGGGAUUGCAGCUCUAAUUUGGUGGUAAAUUCCAUCUAAAGCUAAAUAUUGGUGGGAGACCGAUAGCGUACAAGUACCGUGAGGGAAAGAUGCAAAGAACUUUGAAAAGAGAGUUAAAGAGUACCUGAAAUUGCUGAAACGGAAGCGAAGGAAACCAGUGUUUGUUGGUUCAUAUUUCCUUGGCCACUUGUGGUUUGGGCG